GGGUUGUGAGGUUAAGCGACUAAGCGUACACGGUGGAUGCCCUGGCAGUCAGAGGCGAUGAAGGGCGUGCUAAUCUGCGAUAAGCGCCGGUAAGGUGAUAUGAACCGUUAUAACCGGCGAUACCCGAAUGGGGAAACCCAGUGUGAUUCGUCACACUAUCAUUAACUGAAUCCAUAGGUUAAUGAGGCGAACCGGG
RNAcentral lists this ribosomal RNA (196 nucleotides) under Salmonella enterica subsp. enterica serovar Heidelberg. Its description in RNAcentral is "partial 23S ribosomal RNA". It matches the Rfam family "Bacterial large subunit ribosomal RNA", at positions 1 to 188 of the family's 2925-position model. The record is from RNAcentral. Lineage: Bacteria; Pseudomonadati; Pseudomonadota; Gammaproteobacteria; Enterobacterales; Enterobacteriaceae. RNAcentral also lists the same sequence under 4 other names.